GAUGAACGCUGGCGGCGUGCCUAAUACAUGCAAGUCGAGCGAACGGACGAGAAGCUUGCUUCUCUGAUGUUAGCGGCGGACGGGUGAGUAACACGUGGAUAACCUACCUAUAAGACUGGGAUAACUUCGGGAAACCGUAGCUAAUACCGGAUAAUAUUUUGAACCGCAUGGUUCAAAGGUGAAAGACGGUCUUGCUGUCACUUAUAGAUGGAUCCGCGCUGCAUUAGCUAGUUGGUAAGGUAACGGCUUACCAAGGCAACGAUGCAUAGCCGACCUGAGAGGGUGAUCGGCCACACUGGAACUGAGACACGGUCCAGACUCCUACGGGAGGCAGCAGUAGGGAAUCUUCCGCAAUGGGCAAAAGCCUGACGGAGCAACGCCGCGUGAGUGAUGAAGGUCUUCGGAUCGUAAAACUCUGUUAUUAGGGAAGAACAUAUGUGUAAGUAACUGUGCACAUCUUGACGGUACCUAAUCAGAAAGCCACGGCUAACUACGUG
RNAcentral lists this ribosomal RNA (497 nucleotides) under uncultured bacterium. RNAcentral describes it as "partial 16S ribosomal RNA". It matches the Rfam family "Bacterial small subunit ribosomal RNA", at positions 28 to 507 of the family's 1533-position model. The record is from RNAcentral.